GGGUUUGAUCAUGGCUCAGGAUGAACGCUGGCGGCGUGCUUAACACAUGCAAGUCGAACGAACCUUCGGGUUAGUGGCGGACGGGUGAGUAACGCGUGAGAAUCUGCCCUCAGGAGGGGGAUAACGGUUGGAAACGACCGCUAAUACCCCAUAUGCCUACUGGUGAAACGAAUUUCGCCUGAGGAUGAGCUCGCGUCUGAUUAGCUAGUUGGUGAGGUAAUGGCUCACCAAGGCUUCGAUCAGUAGCUGGUCUGAGAGGAUGAUCAGCCACACUGGGACUGAGACACGGCCCAGACUCCUACGGGAGGCAGCAGUGGGGAAUUUUCCGCAAUGGGCGAAAGCCUGACGGAGCAACGCCGCGUGAGGGACGAAGGCCUCUGGGCUGUAAACCUCUUUUCUCAAGGAAGAAGAUAUGACGGUACUUGAGGAAUAAGCCACGGCUAAUUCCGUGCCAGCAGCCGCGGUAAUACGGGAGUGGCAAGCGUUAUCCGGAAUUAUUGGGCGUAAAGCGUCCGCAGGCGGCUUUUCAAGUCUGCUGUUAAAGCGUGGAGCUUAACUCCAUCAUGGCAGUGGAAACUGAAAGGCUUGAGUAUGGUAGGGGCAGAGGGAAUUCCCGGUGUAGCGGUGAAAUGCGUAGAUAUCGGGAAGAACACCAGUGGCGAAGGCGCUCUGCUGGGCCAUUACUGACGCUCAUGGACGAAAGCCAGGGGAGCGAAAGGGAUUAGAUACCCCUGUAGUCCUGGCCGUAAACGAUGAACACUAGGUGUCGGGGGAAUCGACCCCCUCGGUGUCGUAGCUAACGCGUUAAGUGUUCCGCCUGGGGAGUACGCACGCAAGUGUGAAACUCAAAGGAAUUGACGGGGGCCCGCACAAGCGGUGGAGUAUGUGGUUUAAUUCGAUGCAACGCGAAGAACCUUACCAGGGUUUGACAUCCUGCGAACCUCUUAGAAAUUUGAGGGUGCCUUCGGGAAUGCAGUGACAGGUGGUGCAUGGCUGUCGUCAGCUCGUGUCGUGAGAUGUUGGGUUAAGUCCCGCAACGAGCGCAACCCACGUUUUUAGUUGCCAGCAUUUAGUUGGGCACUCUAGAAAGACCGCCGGUGAUAAACCGGAGGAAGGUGUGGAUGACGUCAAGUCAUCAUGCCCCUUACACCCUGGGCUACACACGUACUACAAUGCUACGGACAAAGGGCAGCAAACUCGCGAGAGCUAGCAAAUCCCAUAAACCGUGGCUCAGUUCAGAUCGUAGGCUGCAACUCGCCUACGUGAAGUAGGAAUCGCUAGUAAUCGCAGGUCAGCAUACUGCGGUGAAUACGUUCCCGGGCCUUGUACACACCGCCCGUCACACCAUGGAAGUUGGCCAUGCCCGAAGUCGUUACUCCAACCCUUGUGGAGGAGGACGCCGAAGGUGGGGCUAAUGACUGGGGUGAAGUCGUAACAAGGUAGCCGUA
Molecule: ribosomal RNA, 1448 nt
Filed under: uncultured bacterium
Lineage: Bacteria
Description: bacterial SSU rRNA
Rfam family: Bacterial small subunit ribosomal RNA
Source: RNAcentral